UAGUUCCUUCAAUACCAAUGUGUUCUAGUAAUAUGAUUUUUUACCAAUGUGUUCAUAUUACUAGAACACAUUGGUAUUGAAGGAACUAGAU
RNAcentral lists this microRNA precursor (91 nucleotides) under Paramuricea clavata. The record is from RNAcentral. Lineage: Eukaryota; Metazoa; Cnidaria; Anthozoa; Malacalcyonacea; Plexauridae.